RNAcentral lists this ribosomal RNA (221 nucleotides) under uncultured bacterium. RNAcentral's name for it is "partial 16S ribosomal RNA". It matches the Rfam family "Bacterial small subunit ribosomal RNA", at positions 15 to 228 of the family's 1533-position model. The record is from RNAcentral.
GAUCAUGGCUCAGGACGAACGCUGGCGGCGUGCCUAAUACAUGCAAGUAGAACGCUGAAGGAGGAGCUUGCUCUUCUGGAUGAGUUGCGAACGGGUGAGUAACGCGUAGGUAACCUGCCUGGUAGCGGGGGAUAACUAUUGGAAACGAUAGCUAAUACCGCAUAACAGUAGAUAUUGCAUGAUAUCUGCUUGAAAGGUGCAAUUGCAUCACUACCAGAUGG